AGUGAACGCUGGCGGUAGGCCUAACACAUGCAAGUCGAACGGCAGCACAGUAAGAGCUUGCUCUUACGGGUGGCGAGUGGCGGACGGGUGAGGAAUACAUCGGAAUCUACUUUUUCGUGGGGGAUAACGUAGGGAAACUUACGCUAAUACCGCAUACGACCUACGGGUGAAAGUAGGGGAUCUUCGGACCUUGCGCGAUUGAAUGAGCCGAUGUCGGAUUAGCUAGUUGGCGGGGUAAAGGCCCACCAAGGCGACGAUCCGCAGCUGGUCUGAGAGGAUGAUCAGCCACACUGGAACUGAGACACGGUCCAGACUCCUACGGGAGGCAGCAGUGGGGAAUAUUGGACAAUGGGCGCAAGCCUGAUCCAGCCAUACCGCGUGGGUGAAGAAGGCCUUCGGGUUGUAAAGCCCUUUUGUUGGGAAAGAAAAGCAGCAGGUUAAUACCCCGCUGUUCUGACGGUACCCAAAGAAUAAGCACCGGCUAACUUCGUG
This 492-nucleotide ribosomal RNA is filed under the name uncultured bacterium. RNAcentral's name for it is "partial 16S ribosomal RNA". It matches the Rfam family "Bacterial small subunit ribosomal RNA", at positions 29 to 507 of the family's 1533-position model. The record is from RNAcentral.